CUCGCCGCGUGAGGAUGAAGGCCUCUGGGCUGUAAACCUCUUUUAUCAAGGAAGAAGAUCUGACGGUACUUGAUGAAUAAGCCACGGCUAAUUCCGUGCCAGCAGCCGCGGUAAUACGGGAGUGGCAAGCGUUAUCCGGAAUUAUUGGGCGUAAAGCGUCCGCAGGCGGUCUUGUAAGUCUGUCGUUAAGGCGUGGAGCUUAACUCCAUUUGAGCGAUGGAAACUGCAAGACUAGAGUGUGGUAGGGGCAGAGGGAAUUCCCGGUGUAGCGGUGAAAUGCGUAGAUAUCGGGAAGAACACCAGUGGCGAAGGCGCUCUGCUGGGCCAUAACUGACGCUCAUGGACGAAAGCCAGGGGAGCGAAAGGGAUUAGAUACCCCUGUAGUCCUGGCCGUAAACGAUGAACACUAGGUGUCGGGGGAAUCGACCCCCUCGGUGUCGUAGCCAACGCGUUAAGUGUUCCGCCUGGGGAGUACGCACGCAAGUGUGAAACUCAAAGGAAUUGACGGGGGCCCGCACAAGCGGUGGAGUAUGUGGUUUAAUUCGAUGCAACGCGAAGAACCUUACCAGCGUUUGACAUCCUGCGAAUCCCUUGGAAACGA
RNAcentral lists this ribosomal RNA (601 nucleotides) under uncultured bacterium. RNAcentral describes it as "bacterial SSU rRNA". It matches the Rfam family "Bacterial small subunit ribosomal RNA", at positions 393 to 1009 of the family's 1533-position model. The record is from RNAcentral.